Long non-coding RNA from Orbicella faveolata, 218 nucleotides. The record is from RefSeq and is a predicted model, not a curated record. Lineage: Eukaryota; Metazoa; Cnidaria; Anthozoa; Scleractinia; Merulinidae.
CCUCUCUCACCCCCUAUAAUGAUCAGAGCUCGCGGAACUGGAAUUGAUGUACCUGUGUGGGUGGAGAGAGAGUUAGUGGAUCUGAAGAUGUGUAUGUACGACCGCCUGUAUCAGGAUGCAAUACUUGUCAACAACAGAGCCACAUCAGCUCUUAGACUAAAGUUUGAAGUUUGUAAGGAGCUCAGGAGUCACCUGGAACUAUUACCCAAGACAGCUUA